Bos taurus (domestic cattle) is the source of this 445-nucleotide long non-coding RNA. The record is from Ensembl. Lineage: Eukaryota; Metazoa; Chordata; Mammalia; Artiodactyla; Bovidae.
CGGAAGGGGUGUUCCCAUCGCACACCUGGGGGAUAGAUUUUUGCUUCCCCCAGCACAGCUGCCCUUCUGCAGACUGUUCCAAAGCCGGCCGGUUUAUUCCAAAUUCCACUGCGAGUGUUGGUUAAUAUCGACCUUAUCACAGUUUGAAACUGUGGAAAAUCAAUUACGUGCUUUGAAUUACUCCCUGCCCUGGCACCAAAGUGUUUCUUCAUUCUUUCCGGACAGUGAACACUUUGCAACAUCUACCAACGAACAGUCUGUUAGGAUUCUCUGCUAAAUGGAUGUCAGACAAAUAAACGGAACAGAAGGCUGGUGGAAUGCUAAACAUCCCUGCUCCCCUCUGCUGUGGCCGCCGUGCAGCUUGGGACCUUUCUGACUUGCUGCUCAACAUCUGGACGGCAUUCGCGUUGCUUCUCAAGGACACAGGCAUGCACCUCCGGUGAAU